Lates calcarifer (barramundi perch) is the source of this 321-nucleotide long non-coding RNA. RefSeq lists it as uncharacterized. The transcript has 3 exons. The record is from RefSeq and is a predicted model, not a curated record. NCBI's taxonomy places the organism in Eukaryota, Metazoa, Chordata, Actinopteri, Centropomidae.
GGUGGACAGGCAGAUACCACUAGAAAUGUUCAGAUUGAGCUGAAAGGUGUUGGAAAGAAAAGAAACAGAGAUGAUCCAAAGGAGAGGUCUGACUACUGUAAUGUGAAUCCAGAUUCUGCUACAGGUCCAUAAAGAGAGGUGCAUCGUCGACAAAGCAAGAGAGGCAUGACAACAACAUGAAAAACAACAUUUGACUUAAAACACGUUUGGCAUCAUUUAUACAACUACUGCCACACACAAUAUUUUUUGCAGUUUUGUAGAAGAACAUAUGAAAGAUGUACUUGUUAUUUUACAAUAAUAUGAAUAAGAUAAACAUCAGCA